Molecule: ribosomal RNA, 276 nt
Filed under: uncultured soil bacterium
Lineage: Bacteria
Description: partial 16S ribosomal RNA
Rfam family: Bacterial small subunit ribosomal RNA
Source: RNAcentral
AGAAUCAACGCUGGCGGCGUGCCUCAGACAUGCAAGUCGAACGCGAAAGUCCCCUUCGGGGGGCAAGUAGAGUGGCGCACGGGUGAGUAACACGUAGGUAAUCUACCUUUGGAUGGGGAAUAACAACCGGAAACGGUUGCUAAUACCGCAUAAUGCAGCGGCACCUAAUGGUGACAGUUGUUAAAGCGGGGGAUCGAAAGACCUCGCGUCUGAAGAGGAGCCUGCGGCGGAUUAGCUAGUUGGUAGGGUAACGGCCUACCAAGGCUACGAUCCGUA